Long non-coding RNA from Lethenteron reissneri (Far Eastern brook lamprey), 1339 nucleotides. RefSeq lists it as uncharacterized. The record is from RefSeq and is a predicted model, not a curated record. Lineage: Eukaryota; Metazoa; Chordata; Hyperoartia; Petromyzontiformes; Petromyzontidae.
UAGGGUACAGUGAUAUAGGAUUAUUAUGAGCAUCCAUAGUUGUAGUGCCUUACGCCGAUAAUCUCGACUCCAAGGCAGCCUCGUAGCGCUCCAGUUGAUAUGUGUGUAUGUUGAACUUCUUUCGCACCGUAUGUAGCCAACCGUGCUAAUCGGAGGUGCGGGGGUAAGACAACAAACUAAACACAAAACGAUGUUAUCACGAAAUGGGUUUUCCAUCGAGAUCAUUUAAAAGUGCAUAGCUCCAGUGGCUUCCUAAUAUCGGAAGGAAGAGCGUUCCAGACGGCCGCAGAAGCACGUAUGGAGUGAGGGAUGAAGCCACGUACACACAGACAACAGGGUGAUUCAACAACAAACAUAUACGCAGGUUAAAGCCCGUUACUGAGAGAAAAAUAAUGCAUAGACGUAUUCUAUGGUUAUUUCGGUAAAGUCACGUAGAUAGAAAAAAUAAUACCAAUAGAAUAAUAAAAAUGAAAAUAAAGUGAAUAAAAAAUAUCACGACGUUUCGAUCGCAACAUCUUCAUUUUUAGUAUUUUAUUGUUAUACAUGUUUCUAUCUACAUGACUUUACCAAAAAACCCAUAGAAUCUGAAUUCCUGCUGUCACGAAAGUUUUAAGUCAAAAUUUAAUGCAUAGACGUUUUAGCCCAUUGGCCUUCUUAAUGAAAUGUGCUAACACAAACUAAAAACUAAACUAUAAACUAAUUAAUUUUACCAGGACAGGCCCACUGAGCUAUGCAUCUCUUUUUCUGAAGCGACAGGCCACAAAUGACAGCUCAACGAAGUGGCUUGUCACGUGGAAAUGUAGAGCAGCCAAAUACUCUGAACGCGUGAUGUCGAUUCUAAAUGUGGAAGGAAAAUCCCGACAACCCGGAAAAGCAUCCACGCAAUCACGAGGAGAGAGGCACACAAACUCUAAAGAUUCAGCAGGCGCCAAGAGUCGGAAUGGAACGCACGACCUCUUCAAUACCAGUCGAGCUCGAUGCCGAGGUGCGAGCCCGGAUCGUUGACAUUGAGGGGCGCGUGGAGCGGGGAGCACGUGGCCGCGCGAGGCGUCGCUGCGGGUGGCUCGUGGCGCGGCGCGUCGCUGCCAAGGGGUGGCGCGCCUUGGUCGAGCCUCGCCAUUGAGUGGCAGCCGAAGGAUGGAAUUAUAUCGCAUUUAAAAAUGGGAAGAACAAGAAUGCCCGAAUGAAUUGAGGCAACACACAAUUGAUGACCGUUCAAAGAUUACACGUGUAAUUAUUUUUUUAUUUAAAAAAAUGGUAUUCCACAUCCUCCCUCACAUCAUACAUCGCAACAUCCUGACUUUCUGGACGCCAUUGCCAGGGGCAUCGACGGUAUCAG